RNAcentral lists this ribosomal RNA (254 nucleotides) under uncultured bacterium. RNAcentral's name for it is "partial 16S ribosomal RNA". It matches the Rfam family "Bacterial small subunit ribosomal RNA", at positions 524 to 776 of the family's 1533-position model. The record is from RNAcentral.
UACGUAGGGUGCAAGCGUUAUCCGGAAUUAUUGGGCGUAAAGAGCUCGUAGGCGGUUUGUCGCGUCUGCUGUGAAAACUGGGGGGCUCAACCCCCAGCCUGCAGUGGGUACGGGCAGACUAGAGUGCGGUAGGGGAGAUUGGAAUUCCUGGUGUAGCGGUGGAAUGCGCAGAUAUCAGGAGGAACACCGAUGGCGAAGGCAGAUCUCUGGGCCGUAACUGACGCUGAGGAGCGAAAGCAUGGGGAGCGAACAGG